AAAUGAAUUGACGGGGGCCCGCACAAGCGGAGGAACAUGUGGUUUAAUUCGAUGAUACGCGAGGAACCUUACCCGGGCUUAAAUUGCACUGGACGACUCUGGAAACAGAGUUUUCUUCGGACCAGUGUGAAGGUGCUGCAUGGUUGUCGUCAGCUCGUGCCGUGAGGUGUCGGCUUAAGUGCCAUAACGAGCGCAACCCUUAUCUUUAGUUACUAACAGGUUAUGCUGAGGACUCUAAAGAGACUGCCGUCGUAAGAUGUGAGGAAGGUGGGGAUGACGUCAAAUCAGCACGGCCCUUACGUCCGGGGCUACACACGUGUUACAAUGGGGGGUACAGAAGGCAGCUACACGGCGACGUGAUGCUAAUCCCAAAAACCUCUCUCAGUUCGGAUCGAAGUCUGCAACUCGACUUCGUGAAGCUGGAUUCGCUAGUAAUCGCGCAUCAGCCACGGCGCGGUGAAUACGUUCCCGGGCCUUGUACACACCGCCCGU
Molecule: ribosomal RNA, 492 nt
Filed under: uncultured bacterium
Lineage: Bacteria
Description: bacterial SSU rRNA
Rfam family: Bacterial small subunit ribosomal RNA
Source: RNAcentral